This 274-nucleotide ribosomal RNA is filed under the name uncultured Enterobacteriaceae bacterium. RNAcentral's name for it is "partial 16S ribosomal RNA". It matches the Rfam family "Bacterial small subunit ribosomal RNA", at positions 408 to 674 of the family's 1533-position model. The record is from RNAcentral. Lineage: Bacteria; Pseudomonadati; Pseudomonadota; Gammaproteobacteria; Enterobacterales; Enterobacteriaceae.
AAGAAGGCCUUCGGGUUGUAAAGCACUUUCAGCGAGGAGGAAGGUGGUGAGCUUAAUACGCUCAUCAAUUGACGUUACCCGCAGAAGAAGCACCGGCUAACUCCGUGCCAGCAGCCGCGGUAAUACGGAGGGUGCAAGCGUUAAUCGGAAUUACUGGGCGUAAAGCGCACGCAGGCGGUCUGUCAAGUCGGAUGUGAAAUCCCCGGGCUCAACCUGGGAACUGCAUUCGAAACUGGCAGGCUGGAGUCUUGUAGAGGGGGGUAGAAUUCCAGGU